GAUGAACGCUGGCGGCGUGCCUAAUACAUGCAAGUCGAGCGAACAGACGAUGAGCUUGCUCCUCUGACGUUAGCGGCGGACGGGUGAGUAACACGUGGAUAACCUACCUAUAAGUCUGGGAUAACUUCGGGAAACCGGAUCUAAUACCGGAUCAUAUAUUGAACCGCAUGGUUCAAUAGUGAAAGACGGUUUUGCUGUCACUUAUAGAUGGAUCCGCGCCGCAUUAGCUAGUUGGUAAGGUAACGGCUUACCAAGGCAACGAUGCGUAGCCGACCUGAGAGGGUGAUCGGCCACACUGGAACUGAGACACGGUCCAGACUCCUACGGGAGGCAGCAGUAGGGAAUCUUCCGCAAUGGGCGAAAGCCUGACGGAGCAACGCCGCGUGAGUGAUGAAGGUCUUCGGAUCGUAAAACUCUGUUAUUAGGGAAGAACAACUGUGUAAGUAACUAUGCACGUCUUGACGGUACCUAAUCAGAAAGCCACGGCUAACUACGUG
Molecule: ribosomal RNA, 497 nt
Filed under: uncultured bacterium
Lineage: Bacteria
Description: partial 16S ribosomal RNA
Rfam family: Bacterial small subunit ribosomal RNA
Source: RNAcentral